CCUACGGGGGGCAGCAGUGGGGAAUAUUGGACAAUGGGGGGAACCCUGAUCCAGCCAUGCCGCGUGUGUGAAGAAGGCCCUCGGGUUGUAAAGCACUUUCAGUGAGGAAGAACGCCUGGUGGUGAAUACCCAUCAGGAAAGACAUCACUCACAGAAGAAGCACCGGCUAACUCCGUGCCAGCAGCCGCGGUAAUACGGAGGGUGCGAGCGUUAAUCGGAAUUACUGGGCGUAAAGCGCGCGUAGGUGGCUUGAUAAGCCGGUUGUGAAAGCCCCGGGCUCAACCUGGGAACGGCAUCCGGAACUGUCAAGCUAGAGUGCAGGAGAGGAAGGUAGAAUUCCCGGUGUAGCGGUGAAAUGCGUAGAGAUCGGGAGGAAUACCAGUGGCGAAGGCGGCCUUCUGGACUGACACUGACACUGAGGUGCGAAAGCGUGGGUAGCAAACAGGAUUAGAUACCCCUGUAGUC
This 465-nucleotide ribosomal RNA is filed under the name Vreelandella stevensii. RNAcentral's name for it is "partial 16S ribosomal RNA". It matches the Rfam family "Bacterial small subunit ribosomal RNA", at positions 338 to 795 of the family's 1533-position model. The record is from RNAcentral. Lineage: Bacteria; Pseudomonadati; Pseudomonadota; Gammaproteobacteria; Oceanospirillales; Halomonadaceae.